Molecule: microRNA, 22 nt
Filed under: Monodelphis domestica (gray short-tailed opossum)
Lineage: Eukaryota; Metazoa; Chordata; Mammalia; Didelphimorphia; Didelphidae
Description: mdo-miR-7398f-3p
Source: miRBase by way of RNAcentral
CAACGCACUCCUUUCUCGCUGC